UACGGGGGGGGCAAGCGUUGUUCGGAAUUACUGGGCGUAAAGGCUCGUAGGUGGCCAACUAAGUCAGACGUGAAAUCCCUCGGCUUAACCGGGGAACUGCGUCUGAUACUGGAUGGCUUGAGUUUGGGAGAGGGACGCGGAAUUCCAGGUGUAGCGGUGAAAUGCGUAGAUAUCUGGAGGAACACCGGUGGCGAAGGCGGCGUCCUGGACCAACACUGACACUGAUGAGCGAAAGCCAGGGGAGCAAACGGG
This 252-nucleotide ribosomal RNA is filed under the name uncultured bacterium. Its description in RNAcentral is "partial 16S ribosomal RNA". It matches the Rfam family "Bacterial small subunit ribosomal RNA", at positions 524 to 776 of the family's 1533-position model. The record is from RNAcentral.